CCUACGGGAGGCAGCAGUGGGGAAUUUUGGACAAUGGGGGAAACCCUGAUCCAGCAAUGCCGCGUGAGUGAAGAAGGCCUUCGGGUUGUAAAGCUCUUUUGUCAGGGAAGAAACACCGGCUCUAACACAGUCCGGGAAUGACGGUACCUGAAGAAUAAGCACCGGCUAACUACGUGCCAGCAGCCGCGGUAAUACGUAGGGUGCGAGCGUUAAUCGGAAUUACUGGGCGUAAAGCGUGCGCAGGCGGUUAUACAAGACAGGCGUGAAAUCCCCGGGCUUAACCUGGGAAUGGCGCCUGUGACUGUAUAGCUAGAGUGUGUCAGAGGGGGGUAGAAUUCCACGUGUAGCAGUGAAAUGCGUAGAUAUGUGGAGGAAUACCAAUGGCGAAGGCAGCCCCCUGGGAUAACACUGACGCUCAUGCACGAAAGCGUGGGGAGCAAACAGGAUUAGAUACCCUGGUAGUCCACGCCCUAAACGAUGCUGACUAGUUGUUCGGGAUUUACAUCCUGAGUAACGUAGCUAACGCGUGAAGUCAGCCGCCUGGGGAGUACGGUCGCAAGAUUAAAACUCAAAGGAAUUGACGG
Molecule: ribosomal RNA, 584 nt
Filed under: uncultured beta proteobacterium
Lineage: Bacteria; Pseudomonadati; Pseudomonadota; Betaproteobacteria
Description: bacterial SSU rRNA
Rfam family: Bacterial small subunit ribosomal RNA
Source: RNAcentral